CAUGCAUACAACAAAAUCACCGGAUCACUUCAACAACUGUAGUUUCUAACCUGACAACGCUUCUUAGACAAAACAUCAUUUUUUUUCUUGUUUAAGCAAUUCAUAAUCUUGUUUAACUACUUAAUGAUUCAAAACUUAAUUGGGAUGUUGGCGUUGCAGUUUGACAGUUGAACAGUCCAUCCAUAAUUGAAAAAAAAACAGUUGCAAUAUACCAUCAAAAAUUGUUACAUCGUUUGACUUCUUUCUUUAUGGUUUACCCAUCAGAUGUCUAGAAGGCAUUUUCCGUUUAACACCUUUAGCAGAGCAUAUUUCUCCUUAAAGCAAGCGAUACAACAUUAGCAUAAGCCUGAGCUUAGAAUUUUCAGAAUCAUCGGCCAUCAUUUGUUACGUAGCAAGCCAGAUGCGGAUAGAAGCCGUAAUGCUUGAUUGGAAUUGUUCAAAACAGCUGAUGACCUUGAUACCUGCAUCUUGCGUUUCUUUAAGAAUUCCAGUGAGUUUUCUAAGCACGGAGGAGGUGGUAGAUCCUUCAAAAUAACUGGUCCAGAUCUGACAAGAAUACAUCUUGUAACUAAUAGUGACUCUAAGCACGGAGGAGGCGGUAGAUCCUUCAAAAUAACUGGUCCAGACCUGACCAAAGCCACAAGAAUACAACGACUAACUAAAAGUGGGUUAUGAAAAUUAUCUCAAUUAAAGCAGAAGAGAAGUGCAUGAUCCUCACCCAGAGUUCCUGGAUCUUU
Molecule: long non-coding RNA, 737 nt
Filed under: Nicotiana benthamiana
Lineage: Eukaryota; Viridiplantae; Streptophyta; Magnoliopsida; Solanales; Solanaceae
Description: long non-coding RNA (NBEN_LNC019630)
Source: RNAcentral